GGAUGACGUCAGGUCCUCAUGGCCCUUAUGGGUAGGGCUACACACGUCAUACAAUGGCCGGUACAGAGGGCUGCCAACCCGCGAGGGGGAGCCAAUCCCAGAAAACCGGUCGUAGUCCGGAUCGCAGUCUGCAACUCGACUGCGUGAAGUCGGAAUCGCUAGUAAUCGCGGAUCAGCUUGCCGCGGUGAAUACGUUCCCGGGUCUUGUACACACCGCCCGUCACACCAUGGGAGCGGGUUCUGCCAGAAGUAGUUAGCCUAACCGCAAGGAGGGCGAUUACCACGGCAGGGUUCGUGACUGGGGUGAAGUCGUAACAAGGUAGCCGUAUCGGAAGGUGCGGCUGGAACACCUCCUU
RNAcentral lists this ribosomal RNA (356 nucleotides) under uncultured Methylibium sp. RNAcentral's name for it is "bacterial SSU rRNA". It matches the Rfam family "Bacterial small subunit ribosomal RNA", at positions 1177 to 1532 of the family's 1533-position model. The record is from RNAcentral. Lineage: Bacteria; Pseudomonadati; Pseudomonadota; Betaproteobacteria; Burkholderiales; Sphaerotilaceae.